This 305-nucleotide ribosomal RNA is filed under the name uncultured bacterium. Its description in RNAcentral is "partial 16S ribosomal RNA". It matches the Rfam family "Bacterial small subunit ribosomal RNA", at positions 333 to 640 of the family's 1533-position model. The record is from RNAcentral.
UUCCUCCUACGGGGGGCAGCAGUGGGGAAUAUUGCACAAUGGGGGAAACCCUGAUGCAGCGACGCCGCGUGAGUGAAGAAGUAUCUCGGUACGUAAAGCUCUCUCAGCAGGGAAGAAAAAAAGUCUUUGGCUUUGGACGGUACCUGACUAAGAAGCCCCGGCUAACUACGUGCCAGCAGCCGCGGUAAUACGUAGGGGGCAAGCGUUAUCCGGAUUUACUGGGUGUAAAGGGAGCGUAGACGGCAGCACAAGUCUGGAGUGAAAUCCCGGGGCUUAACCCCGGAACUGCUUUGGAAACUGUGCGG